Molecule: non-coding RNA, 5341 nt
Organism: Arachis ipaensis
Lineage: Eukaryota; Viridiplantae; Streptophyta; Magnoliopsida; Fabales; Fabaceae
Source: RefSeq, a predicted model, not a curated record
UUAGUCGUUCUCACUUCUCAGUCGGUUUGUUGACUGUUGAAUCAGAAAUGUGGACGUUUCUUUCUCCACUGUUUCGCAUUUCUUAUCGUUGACUGAUGCGAGGAUUCUAAAAAAAUCCCUAACAAGUCUUUUUCUUGGCACUUGGUGAGUCUCUGGAGGGAGAUCGUAAUCCUAAUUCUUAAGCCCACACAUAUCUUCAACGGCUUAGCUCGGAUCAGAAGAACAUCGCUUCAAUUCUAUUAGUUGCAGUUUGGCACUCCUCAUAGGGCAUUAGCAGAUAUUAAGUUCCAACAUGAGCAAAGCAGGUGAUUUACCCAAAAUGAAGUUAGAGGCUGGUGAGUUUCCCAAAAUGGAAGUGAAGCCAUUUAAUAUCGUUAAAACGGAGAUGAAUGAAUUUUCGAAAAAAGAGCCAUCUGGAUUUCCCAAAAUGGAGUUGGAAGCAGGUGAUUUUUCCAAAACAGAGGUGAAGCCAUUCAGUAUCCUUAAAACAGAGCCAGGAGAGUUUCCUAGAAAGGAGCUGUUAGAUUUCUCCUUAGUGGAGAAAUUUUUUUCUGACGAAACAGAAUCUGAAGGGUCCUUAGUGGAGAAUUUUUUUUCUGACGAAGCAGAAUCUGAAGGGGCCUCGGCUUCUCAGACUAGUACUUUGACAAGCUUGAAAUCAUCAAUUUUCUCACCUGAAUCAGAAAAUAGUUUGAGGAGGAAGAGGGAUUUGCUGAGCCUCUUGUCUAGUUACUCUGUGAAUGCGAGAAUGAUAUUUCAAGAUUUCACAUCAAAGUCAUAUGAUGAGAGGCAGCUGCCGCUUAAUCUACGAGGACUUCUUCCAAAGGAGAUAAUAAGGGAUGCUGAAAAUGGUGAUAGGUCCUGGUCCCGGUCCAGCUCCGGCUUCGGUGAGGCCGACUUGGACUUCAUUCCAGAAGCUAUUCUCAAUUUGGCUCCUGAUCUUGCUGUCCACCAACUCAUCCAAACGUUGAUUUCCUUUUCUAAAAAUCAAAAUCUAAACUAUAUAAAAUACAUCAGAUUGUCAACCAGAAGCGAUGUUGAAAAAAGAGCAGUCAUGGCAAAAGUAGCAGCAGCCUUGAAUGACAAGCAUAAUGUGCUUGACAUUCUGAGUUCAUUUCGUGGAACUCUUAGUAUUGAAGCCUCAAGUUAUCCAACUACAGGAGGAGAGAAGGAACUUCGAAAACAUGUUUGUCAGCUACUUCAGCUUUCAAUGAUUGAAGACGAAGUUUUGUGCACCAGACACAUUGAGGAAGAGAUGUCAAGCAGCAGGUACCUAGUAAUUCUUGCAGACAGGGAUGGUGAGGAAAUUGUCGAUCUACAAAGAGUGGGAUUUUGUAAGAGUCUACUGUCAGGAGUUUUGGUACUCAUUACCACUGAUUCACCAGCACCUCAACAUGCUAAAGAAGAAGGAUUGAUGGAAGCGAUAGUGGACUUGGAAAUUCGGACUAAAGAACAUUUGCUGCCAUGGGUGGUCUUCUGUCACAAUGUGGGGAAGGAUUUUGUAUAUUCAUCAAGUGCCAUCCUGACAACUGCAGUGCGCAUAGUUGAGGAGUGUCGAAGCCACCUUCACGCAAUUCUCCUUGUGGCAAAGUGGUUGAAGAAUCAUCAAGAUGUCAGAAAGUGGGAACUUGCUCUCCUCAAAUUGCAAUCUGCUAAUCCUUCACAAGAUAUCCACAAUUUUCAUGGUUUAAACGAGAUCAUGGUUAACACAUUCCUAAACUUAAUAUGGGAUGGCAUGAAUAAGACACAACAGAAUUGCCUACUGAGCUGUAUAGUCAUCCCUAAAAUUAGAGAUGGCAUGGUUGAUCAUGAAUUGAUGAAUCACUGGAUGUCUUCUCUCUUUGUGGAUUCUGGAGAAACAGAAAAGAACCUAAGACAACUUGUAGAAAAUUCUGUCUUUCUUCAAUUUGAUGGUGUUGGAGGCAGGUAUACUUGGUUACCAGAAGAAACCUAUCAAAUGUUAGAACGGCUAUACAGCUCAUACCCAUUGUUCAUAGAGAAAUCAAACCUAGGGUUGACUGAACCACCCAACCCUGACAAAUGGAAUAAUGCCUUACGAAUUGAAUUAGCAGGCAAUAAAAUCUCUGAGUUACCAAAGUCCCCAGCUUGUCUGGAACUCAAAGUUUUGAUGCUGCAAAGCAAUGCUGAUUUGACAAAAAUACCAUCUUCAUUUUUUGGUCAGAUGCCACUGCUUUGCAUCCUGAACUUAUCCUACACUAGUGUAAGAGAACUGCCAUCUUCAUUGUUUUUUCUGGAGCAGCUUAGAGAACUGUAUCUGAAAGGUUGUGAAUGCUUCAUGAAGUUACCACCUGAAAUUGGAAAUUUGGAGAAGCUUGAGAAGCUUGAUCUUGAUGAGACUCAGAUCACACAUCUGCCAAAAGAGGUCCAGAAGUUAACCAAUAUGCAAAGUUUGACCCUCUGCUUUUAUGAAUAUCGUGUCAAGAAGGACAUGCCAUAUUCUUGCUCAACAAUUAUUCCUUCUGGCGUGCUAUCUAAACUCAAGAGGUUGGAACAUUUGUGUAUUGGUGUAAACCCUGAUGAUGAGCGGUGGGAUGAGAAUCUGCAAGUUAUUCUACCAGAAAUAUUGGGAUUAGAGUGUUUGCAAACUCUCAGUAUGUAUAUCCCACAACCGGAACUUUUGAAGCUCAUACCGGCCCACAUUUUUGAGCUUGAUUUCAGGUUCAUUGUUGGUCGUCAUAUGCAGCGGAUUAUAUCAAGCAUACCACCUGCCACUGAUGUGAAAUUUAAACAAAGUGACUGCAGCUUAAAAUUUGUAAAAGGUGAGGGUGUCCCAGAUGAAAUCAAAACGGUUCUUAGACACAGCAAGGCUCUUUUCUUGGAUAGGCAUUUCACCUUGAAGAGUCUUUCUGAAUUUGAAAUGAAAAAUUUAGAGCAACUAAGGGUGUGCAUAUUGGCAGAAUGCAAAGAAAUGCAGACAUGUGGAGGUGGAGCAAAAGAUGAAGAUGACAUGCUUCCGCAUUUGCUAUUCUUGAGUAUAUUCCACAUGAAGAACCUGAGAAGCAUAUGGGAAGGCCCAACUUCCCCUCACUCCCCAUUUGGUAUGUUACAGUCUUUGUCAUUGCAAAGUUGUCCCAAGUUGGUGACUCUCUUCUCUUUGGACUUUCUGGGGAAUCUUUCUUUGUUGAAGAAACUUAUAGUGAAGGACUGCCCCAAAUUAAGUACAUUGAUAAGUCAUGAAUCAUCCAAGCGCAAUGCACAUACUUUCCUCCCUAAAUUGAGCACGUUAUUGCUUCUCCAUCUUCCUGAAUUGUCCAGCAUUUCAAACGGGUUGCAAAUUGGGCCUGGUUUAAAAGAAAUAGCAUUUUAUGACUGUCCAAAGCUGCACAGUCUUUCAAGGAAGGAAUUGGUUAGCAAAGAACUAACGGUAAUAAAAGGAGAAACCAACUGGUGGAAGUCACUAGAAGGUCGAACGCCUAAUUUUAAUCGGAUUUUUUCCCCAAUUAAUGAAGAGGCUGACUUGAUGACUCAGUUAGGUAUAUGUGACGAUGACGGUAUUGAUAAUGGUCCAGGUGACUCAGUAGGUAAGCCGUCACAGCCUACAGGGAUUGCAACUUGUGUAUCAAAUUCACCGACUAGGAGAGGCAAAUAUAGAAGGCGUAGAAUCUCAAAAACUUGGGAGGUAGAGACAAGUUAUCUCACUGAUGAUGGACACACGUGGAGAAAAUAUGGUCAGAAAGCGUUGCUCAACAAUAAGUACCCGAGAAAUUAUUACAGAUGCACUCAUAAGUAUGAUCAAGGAUGCAUGGCCACAAAGCAUGUUCAACAGAUUGGCGAGGACCCUCCUUUAUAUAAAACAGCUUACUUUGGGCAUCAUACAUGCCGCCGUAGACCGUAGUCAACAUACAACUCUGUCUAUGAAAUAUGAAUAGAUGAUCUUCUACCGACUUAUCUCACACAUGAAGUACAAAUACAUCCAGUGUCAACCACUAUCCUUGGUGUAAACAAUGAAGUCAGGAAUUGUGAUAGCAUUUAAUUUUCAGAAUGAUAUAUGAUUAUUGAUUGUUAAUAAGUCAAUUCAUACUAUUAACUCCGAUCUUGGGAUUUAUUUCAAAGACUAUGGUUACAUGUUUGGUUUUAUAUUGCUAACAUUAAAUAUGAUCAUAAAAAUGUGGGAAAAUUUCAACUUCCUACCUUGAAGUAGGUUUCUUUUUUUGGUAUGAAAACGGGUCUAGGCUCAAGAAAAAAGGAUUACAGAGUCAUUGAAUACAUCAGCUGUAAAUAAAGAGACUAAUUCAAAAGGUGGAACAUCUAUGAAUUUGCAUCCUAGUUUAAUGUUAAGACUUUGUUAAUGUUGAAAGCUUAACUCCCAGGGUCUGUAGAUGAAGGCUUGGAUUUCUUUGACGAUGGAGUCGUGACAGGUUGAAUUGGGCUUUAUGCUUCUAAGUUCCUCAAACACCUCUGCUGAAUCCACUUCUACUAUCAUACGUCUCAUACCCAUAUCAGCUGCCAUUCGGAUCCCAUUAAGUACACCAAGGAGCUCAGCUUCUUGUGGUUGGCAGCACCUUAUUUUAGCCAUGCUGGUUCUGAAAAUUCAACCACAACCUGCCCUGCUAUCCUCUCCCUGAACUCAUCCAUCUGUAUUCAGUUUAAUCCAUCCCUCCAGAGGGGGUGCCCAUCUGGUUCUCCUCCUAUCAGCACAGCCGUAAGAAAGAGCUUCUGCUUCGCAGGCGCCUUCUUAUACUCUUAUCAUCUCCUACCUUGAAGACUACCAUUGCGUUGCAUACCAACUUACCCAUCAAAUUAUCUUUCAUAAUGUUCCUAAACUUUGGAUUGGGGAAGAUGUUACGGACCUAAGGUACGAUUCAUUGUGGGGCCUCUGAAUUGGAUUCAAAGUGAGCUUUCCACAUUUGGAAUGAUUGAGGAUGAUGAAAAUGAUGAAUGAACUAUAUACCAAUAUUAAUGUGUGCAGGGGUAAUGAAUUUGUUACUUUUUAACAACUUAACAUAGCAUUUCGUUGAGAUGAAUGAAACUGGAAUCAAGGACAAAAUUUAUUCAUCCAAAUCUAAGUGUACAAGUGAACAAUAAAAAUUGACUCAUCAGCAUGCUUUAUAGAACAGAAUUGAAAUAUUGAAAAAGAUUUGGUGGUGGUGGACAACAUUACAUAAUCUUAGAGAUUAAGCUGCAUCAUUCAUGUUGAUGAACUUAGCUACUAGCUAGAAUCAGAUUUAUGCAUGAAAAUAAUGGAUUUUCCAUGAGUCACGAACACAAAAUCUGUUUGCAAUCUUACUCGUCUCUAACUCAUGAAUUCUCAGCCUAUCAAUUUUGGUACAUGAAUUCUGAUCCAAUUUCUAUAGCAGCAACAUAAGAACAGAAGAUAACU